RNAcentral lists this ribosomal RNA (502 nucleotides) under uncultured bacterium. RNAcentral's name for it is "partial 16S ribosomal RNA". It matches the Rfam family "Bacterial small subunit ribosomal RNA", at positions 28 to 507 of the family's 1533-position model. The record is from RNAcentral.
GAUUAACGCUGGCGGCGUGCCUAACACAUGCAAGUCGAGCGGCAGCGAGUUUUACACUGAAUUCUGGAAGCUUCUAGUUGAAAGAGAAGAUUUAUUCAAGAAUUUUGUGUAAAAUGUCGGCGAGCGGCGGACGGCUGAGUAACGCGUGGGAACGUACCCCAAAGUGAGGGAUAACGCAUCGAAAGGUGUGCUAAUACCGCAUAUGGUCUUCGGAUUAAAGCCUUCGGGCGCUUUGGGAACGGCCUGCGUAAGAUUAGAUAGUUGGUGGGGUAAUGGCCUACCAAGUCGACGAUCUUUAACUGGUUUGAGAGGAUGAUCAGUCAGACUGGAACUGAGACACGGUCCAGACUCCUACGGGAGGCAGCAGUGAGGAAUCUUCCACAAUGGGCGAAAGCCUGAUGGAGCAACGCCGCGUGCAGGAUGAAGGCAUUCGGGUUGUAAACUGCUUUUAUAAGUGAGGAUUAUGACAGUAACUUAUGAAUAAGAAUCGGCUAACUACGUG